RNAcentral lists this ribosomal RNA (2692 nucleotides) under Escherichia coli. Its description in RNAcentral is "bacterial LSU rRNA". It matches the Rfam family "Bacterial large subunit ribosomal RNA". The record is from RNAcentral. Lineage: Bacteria; Pseudomonadati; Pseudomonadota; Gammaproteobacteria; Enterobacterales; Enterobacteriaceae.
GGGUUGUGAGGUUAAGCGACUAAGCGUACACGGUGGAUGCCCUGGCAGUCAGAGGCGAUGAAGGACGUGCUAAUCUGCGAUAAGCGUCGGUAAGGUGAUAUGAACCGUUAUAACCGGCGAUUUCCGAAUGGGGAAACCCAGUGUGNUAUGAACCGUUAUAACCGGCGAUUUCCGAAUGGGGAAACCCAGUGUGUUUCGACACACUAUCAUUAACUGAAUCCAUAGGUUAAUGAGGCGAACCGGGGGAACUGAAACAUCUAAGUACCCCGAGGAAAAGAAAUCAACCGAGAUUCCCCCAGUAGCGGCGAGCGAACGGGGAGCAGCCCAGAGCCUGAAUCAGUGUGUGUGUUAGUGGAAGCGUCUGGAAAGGCGCGCGAUACAGGGUGACAGCCCCGUACACAAAAAUGCACAUGCUGUGAGCUCGAUGAGUAGGGCGGGACACGUGGUAUCCUGUCUGAAUAUGGGGGGACCAUCCUCCAAGGCUAAAUACUCCUGACUGACCGAUAGUGAACCAGUACCGUGAGGGAAAGGCGAAAAGAACCCCGGCGAGGGGAGUGAAAAAGAACCUGAAACCGUGUACGUACAAGCAGUGGGAGCACGCUUAGGCGUGUGACUGCGUACCUUUUGUAUAAUGGGUCAGCGACUUAUAUUCUGUAGCAAGGUUAACCGAAUAGGGGAGCCGAAGGGAAACCGAGUCUUAACUGGGCGUUAAGUUGCAGGGUAUAGACCCGAAACCCGGUGAUCUAGCCAUGGGCAGGUUGAAGGUUGGGUAACACUAACUGGAGGACCGAACCGACUAAUGUUGAAAAAUUAGCGGAUGACUUGUGGCUGGGGGUGAAAGGCCAAUCAAACCGGGAGAUAGCUGGUUCUCCCCGAAAGCUAUUUAGGUAGCGCCUCGUGAAUUCAUCUCCGGGGGUAGAGCACUGUUUCGGCAAGGGGGUCAUCCCGACUUACCAACCCGAUGCAAACUGCGAAUACCGGAGAAUGUUAUCACGGGAGACACACGGCGGGUGCUAACGUCCGUCGUGAAGAGGGAAACAACCCAGACCGCCAGCUAAGGUCCCAAAGUCAUGGUUAAGUGGGAAACGAUGUGGGAAGGCCCAGACAGCCAGGAUGUUGGCUUAGAAGCAGCCAUCAUUUAAAGAAAGCGUAAUAGCUCACUGGUCGAGUCGGCCUGCGCGGAAGAUGUAACGGGGCUAAACCAUGCACCGAAGCUGCGGCAGCGACGCUUAUGCGUUGUUGGGUAGGGGAGCGUUCUGUAAGCCUGCGAAGGUGUGCUGUGAGGCAUGCUGGAGGUAUCAGAAGUGCGAAUGCUGACAUAAGUAACGAUAAAGCGGGUGAAAAGCCCGCUCGCCGGAAGACCAAGGGUUCCUGUCCAACGUUAAUCGGGGCAGGGUGAGUCGACCCCUAAGGCGAGGCCGAAAGGCGUAGUCGAUGGGAAACAGGUUAAUAUUCCUGUACUUGGUGUUACUGCGAAGGGGGGACGGAGAAGGCUAUGUUGGCCGGGCGACGGUUGUCCCGGUUUAAGCGUGUAGGCUGGUUUUCCAGGCAAAUCCGGAAAAUCAAGGCUGAGGCGUGAUGACGAGGCACUACGGUGCUGAAGCAACAAAUGCCCUGCUUCCAGGAAAAGCCUCUAAGCAUCAGGUAACAUCAAAUCGUACCCCAAACCGACACAGGUGGUCAGGUAGAGAAUACCAAGGCGCUUGAGAGAACUCGGGUGAAGGAACUAGGCAAAAUGGUGCCGUAACUUCGGGAGAAGGCACGCUGAUAUGUAGGUGAAGUCCCUCGCGGAUGGAGCUGAAAUCAGUCGAAGAUACCAGCUGGCUGCAACUGUUUAUUAAAAACACAGCACUGUGCAAACACGAAAGUGGACGUAUACGGUGUGACGCCUGCCCGGUGCCGGAAGGUUAAUUGAUGUGGUUAGCGCAAGCGAAGCUCUUGAUCGAAGCCCCGGUAAACGGCGGCCGUAACUAUAACGGUCCUAAGGUAGCGAAAUUCCUUGUCGGGUAAGUUCCGACCUGCACGAAUGGCGUAAUGAUGGCCAGGCUGUCUCCACCCGAGACUCAGUGAAAUUGAACUCGCUGUGAAGAUGCAGUGUACCCGCGGCAAGACGGAAAGACCCCGUGAACCUUUACUAUAGCUUGACACUGAACAUUGAGCCUUGAUGUGUAGGAUAGGUGGGAGGCUUUGAAGUGUGGACGCCAGUCUGCAUGGAGCCGACCUUGAAAUACCACCCUUUAAUGUUUGAUGUUCUAACGUUGACCCGUAAUCCGGGUUGCGGACAGUGUCUGGUGGGUAGUUUGACUGGGGCGGUCUCCUCCUAAAGAGUAACGGAGGAGCACGAAGGUUGGCUAAUCCUGGUCGGACAUCAGGAGGUUAGUGCAAUGGCAUAAGCCAGCUUGACUGCGAGCGUGACGGCGCGAGCAGGUGCGAAAGCAGGUCAUAGUGAUCCGGUGGUUCUGAAUGGAAGGGCCAUCGCUCAACGGAUAAAAGGUACUCCGGGGAUAACAGGCUGAUACCGCCCAAGAGUUCAUAUCGACGGCGGUGUUUGGCACCUCGAUGUCGGCUCAUCACAUCCUGGGGCUGAAGUAGGUCCCAAGGGUAUGGCUGUUCGCCAUUUAAAGUGGUACGCGAGCUGGGUUUAGAACGUCGUGAGACAGUUCGGUCCCUAUCUGCCGUGGGCGCUGGAGAA